Long non-coding RNA from Patella vulgata (common limpet), 1664 nucleotides. RefSeq lists it as uncharacterized. The transcript has 3 exons. Lineage: Eukaryota; Metazoa; Mollusca; Gastropoda; Patellidae. The record is from RefSeq and is a predicted model, not a curated record.
GCACAAUACUGGAUCUUCAAUGAGUUACUUUCUAUUUUUCACUCGGCAACCGGCUGCAGAUUUCACUCGGCCAACUUCGGUUACUCCUCUACACCAAACCAUGUUUCCAAACAGAGUUAUCUUUCCGUGACCCGCAAAUUAUAUUUUUAACAAUGAGUUGAAUUCUAUAGGAGGUGUUGGAACUCCCGCAAACAGUGCCGGUGGUGCAAAGAAGAAAUGGGAAACAUUACCAGACUGCCAGACACGCCCCAUUGAUAACAAAGGUCUGCCUGCUGCCGCUGUACACAAAACACCCAACCCAGAACCAAUCGAUGCCACAAAAUUGCCGCUAGCAGAAAAAAUUCGACGACUUUCAAUGUUUUUACGAAGUGAAAAAAAAGUAAUCAAUGAAAUUAUGUUGUUUGAGAAUUCUCUGAUGAGUUGUAAAGUUGGAAUUAGACCAGAUUUUUUGAUGUGGUGUGUUCCUAGCCAGAGCUAUCGGCAUCAACAAGAAAGAAAUCAAACUGUCAUGUUUCAAGAAGGCGGUGGAACUUUAUCGUACCCUUCCUGUCACUGAAAUUUUGAACCAGAAUGAUAUGACCCCAAAAGUUAUCAAGGAGAAACUGGAGAAUUUUAACUCGACCGUUGCUAAGAUGGAGAAAGAAACAAUUGCAGAGUUACCCCCACCAUCUAUUUUGAAACAGAUCCAAGAUAUUCUAACCAAUCCUAAAUAUGCUUCAACCAAUUCAGUCAGCAAAAUGGAGUUGGCGGCCUCUGUGGCUAAAUGUCGAGUCCGUUGUCGAUAUGAUGUAGAGAGUUGUAAAGCUGAAUCAGGGAAAGUUUAUCAUAAGGGAAUGUACUUUAUUGACAACAUACUACAAGGUGCAGGUGUUUCAGUUUCCAAAAAAACUGCUAAGUCAUUGUGUUAUAAUAUGGUGGUUGAACGACUGACCACCAUGAAUGUUGAACAUGGCAACAUCUUAGAUGGUGUCGAACAGUCUGUCAUAACAGAAGCAGAAGCACAGGUUCAGAGCACUUUGGUAAAGGCAGCACCAAAUCCUAGGGCAUUUGAUCUCCGUGAACAGUUUGUCAAAAUGAACGAACUUAGCAGUGCCACGCAUCCUGCAUCCAUCAUUACUGUCUUGGAUGGAAUUUUCAACGAUGUAAAAUUGACGCCCAUUUGUCUGUACCGUCGUAGCAUGAACACAGAAAUAGAAAAGGAGAAAAUUUUCUGUAACCUCUAUCUAGCUGGUCAUCUCAUCAUGAUUGGUGAAGCAGAGAACCGAACAGAUGCCCAAGCAGACGCUUACUCUACUGUUUGGACCUGCUUUCCCUCAUCAUAUCACACGCCAGAUUAACGGCUUACUGUAUAACCUCCCCGUUCCAGUUCGCUUUAUAAAUCAUUCCACUAGAAAUCAGAUGUACACCAUUGUAACGCAAAGUAUGUCACCGAUCAAAAUUGUCGCAUUUCUCAAAGCCAACGGUGGACAGUCUGGUCGCUUUCGUUUAGUCGACAAAUCAGAACUUCCGACACAUAAGGACAUUUUACCAGAACUUAAAAGUAGGGAAAUUUUAACUAAGAUCAAAUCCAAAUUUUAGUAGAAAUUUCAAUUUUGAUUGGCUAAGCACUAAAACCAAUCAAAUUGUUGGCUUUUUUUUGCUAAUAAAUAUAAGUGCUAGUCUAA